This 253-nucleotide ribosomal RNA is filed under the name uncultured bacterium. RNAcentral describes it as "partial 16S ribosomal RNA". It matches the Rfam family "Bacterial small subunit ribosomal RNA", at positions 524 to 776 of the family's 1533-position model. The record is from RNAcentral.
GACGAACCGUGCGAACGUUGUUCGGAAUCACUGGGCUUAAAGGGCGCGUAGGCGGACCACCAAGUCCGGGGUGAAAUCCUUCGGCUUAACCGGAGAAUUGCCUGGGAUACUGGUGGUCUUGAGGGAGGUAGGGGCACGCGGAACUUCCGGUGGAGCGGUGAAAUGCGUUGAUAUCGGAAGGAACGCCGGUGGCGAAAGCGGCGUGCUGGCCCUCUUCUGACGCUGAGGCGCGAAAGCUAGGGGAGCAAACAGG